GGGGCUAUAGCUCAGCUGGGAGAGCGCUUGGCUGGCAGCCAAGGGUUCGAUCCCCCUUAGCUCCACCA
Molecule: transfer RNA, 68 nt
Filed under: Desulfurella multipotens
Lineage: Bacteria; Pseudomonadati; Campylobacterota; Desulfurellia; Desulfurellales; Desulfurellaceae
Description: tRNA-Ala
Rfam family: tRNA
About the family: Transfer RNA (tRNA) molecules are approximately 80 nucleotides in length. Their secondary structure includes four short double-helical elements and three loops (D, anti-codon, and T loops). Further hydrogen bonds mediate the characteristic L-shaped molecular structure. tRNAs have two regions of fundamental functional importance: the anti-codon, which is responsible for specific mRNA codon recognition, and the 3' end, to which the tRNAs corresponding amino acid is attached (by aminoacyl-tRNA synthetases). tRNAs cope with the degeneracy of the genetic code in two manners: having more than one tRNA (with a specific anti-codon) for a particular amino acid; and 'wobble' base-pairing, i.e. permitting non-standard base-pairing at the 3rd anti-codon position.
Source: RNAcentral